AGGGAUGUAGCUCAGUGGUAGAGCAUCUGCUUGCCCGCAGGAGGUCCCAGGUUCAAUCCCCAUCUCCA
Non-coding RNA from Podarcis lilfordi (Lilford's wall lizard), 68 nucleotides. The record is from the annotation of a GenBank genome assembly. Lineage: Eukaryota; Metazoa; Chordata; Lepidosauria; Squamata; Lacertidae.